Molecule: ribosomal RNA, 468 nt
Filed under: uncultured bacterium
Lineage: Bacteria
Description: partial 16S ribosomal RNA
Rfam family: Bacterial small subunit ribosomal RNA
Source: RNAcentral
GAUGAACGCUGGCGGCGUGCUUAACACAUGCAAGUCGAACGGAAAGGCCCUGCUUUUGUGGGGUGCUCGAGUGGCGAACGGGUGAGUAACACGUGAGUAACCUGCCCUUGACUUUGGGAUAACUUCAGGAAACUGGGGCUAAUACCGGAUAGGAGCUCCUGCUGCAUGGUGGGGGUUGGAAAGUUUCGGCGGUUGGGGAUGGACUCGCGGCUUAUCAGCUUGUUGGUGGGGUAGUGGCUUACCAAGGCUUUGACGGGUAGCCGGCCUGGGAGGGUGACCGGCCACAUUGGGACUGCGAUACGGCCCAGACUCCUACGGGAGGCAGCAGUGGGGAAUAUUGCCCAAUGGGCGGAAGCCUGAUGCAGCAACGCCGCGUGCGGGAUGACGGCCUUCGGGUUGUAAACCGCUUUCGCCUGUGACGAAGCGUGAGUGACGGUAAUGGGUAAAGAAGCACCGGCUAACUACGUG